UUUCAGAUAAAAAAUUAUAAUGCAUCUGAUUAUUUCCUUAGGAAAAAAAAUCUGGAAAGCAGAAUUAGUGAAUCAGAGGGUCUUUGGAAGGUUAUCCAGGUUCAAAGAAGAGAAGUCUGCUGACCAGGCACAUCUGGUGAACCCAGGACCAAAUUCUGUUCUCAGGCCACUCAGGCGUGCUUCCAGCCAGACUCUGCAGACUAUAGAGUUUUGCCAAUCUGAUGGAAAAAUAAUUGGUAUCUGUGGAAGUCAUUUGGUUUCCCCAAACAUUUCCAGUCAUCCCUCCUUCCAAGCAAAUGGUGGGAGGAGCUGCACUUCCUGGUCCCUCGUGGUUGUGUGAGUUCCGGUGCCGUGUACUGAGCAAUGAGUUGUGAAGAGAUGUGUGCCAUUUCCAGGCUGGAGUAAUUAAUCGCUGAUGCAAACACCUCCAUGGCUCUCUGGAAAAGAGACCUACAAUAUUCAGGAAGUGACCAGUGUGUAACUCUGGGAACAUAAGUGAGUAUGAUGAACAGAGCCUCCCACUUGACCUACAGUGGACAUUUAGUGUGAGUGAGAAGUAAAAUUUUGUUGGUAUAAGAUUCUUGGAUGUUGGUGUAACAAUAUAACAUAACCUAUCGUGGUGUAUAAAGUAUCUCAUUUUUGUUGUAAUUUGCAUUUUCCUGCUUACUUAGUGAGGCUAAAUAUCUUUUGAUAUUUUGUUUGCCAUUUUUUAUUCUUUCAUAAAAUACUCAUUUACUGGCUUUUGUCCAUUUUUCAAUUGGUUUCUUUAUCUUUCGCUUAAUGAUUUAUGAGUUCUUGAAACAUUUUAGAUUCUCAUCUUCUGUCGGUUUUGCUUCAAAUUUACACAAUUGAUGGUUUUUCUUUUUAUCCUGUAGUUCUUAAAAAAACUUUAUUUUGGAAAAUUUCAAACAUAUACAAAAGUAGAGAGAAUAGUAUAAUAACCCCCCAUGAAGCCAUAACCCAGCUUCAACAAUUGUUGACUCAUAACCAAUCUGGUUUCAUUUGUAAGUCCUACCUAUUCCCCUCACUUUUGGAUUAUUUUGAAGAAAAUGCCAGACAUCAUGUAAUUUCAUCUGUGUAUCUCUACAG
Molecule: long non-coding RNA, 1089 nt
Filed under: Equus caballus (horse)
Lineage: Eukaryota; Metazoa; Chordata; Mammalia; Perissodactyla; Equidae
Description: lncRNA (ENSECAG00000041708.2)
Source: RNAcentral